Molecule: long non-coding RNA, 632 nt
Filed under: Rattus norvegicus (Norway rat)
Lineage: Eukaryota; Metazoa; Chordata; Mammalia; Rodentia; Muridae
Description: long non-coding RNA NONRATT003838
Source: RNAcentral
GUCCUUGAAUGAACCACAGCCCAGCAAGUCAGGCCAAGAUGCUUCUGCUCCUGGCACUCAGGGGGUUCUACCCAGGACAACGCUCUCUCUUUCCCCUCCUUGUACCAGAGCUGUAUCUCCUCCCCCAAAGGCAGAAAAGCCACCAAAAACCCAAACCCAGCUCAGCUCAGAGGAUGAAGCCAGUGAUGGGGAAGGGCCCCAGGUUAGCUCAGCAGAUUUGCAAGCCUUGAUCAGUGGGCACUACCCCACUCCCCCUGGGGAAGAUGGUGGGCCUGACCCAGCCCCAGAAGCUCUGGGUAAGUGGGUCUGUGCACAGCCCUCAAGCCAGAAGGCAACUAAUUACAACCUGCACAUCACAGAGAAGCUCGAAGUGCUGGCUAAAGCCUACAAUGUCCAGGGAGACAAGUGGAGGGCUCUGGGCUAUGCCAAGGCCAUCAACGCCCUCAAGAGCUUCCACAAGCCUGUCAGUUCCUACCAGGUACUUGGGGGUUGGGGAAGAGGUUUCCUCUUUACUCAGUAGUGGCUAGUGAUUAACUAGUGAUUAACUGUAGUCACCAAUGGGCAUCAAAUUUCGUGGUUAGGAUUAUAUAAUGGCUGGGAUUUACACACAGAGACAAACUGAUAAAAGAAAA